CAGUCGUACCGACGAGAAAUCAGCUUAUCGUGUGUAAACUUGUGGGCGUGCGUGAGUUUCGGCCUCGCUGUUUGCAUGUUUGUGCUCUUUGGGUGUACUUUUUCGUAUGGUAGGCCAACAUCAGUUUCGAUUACUAUAAAAUGACUGGCGGAAUGUAGCUUCGAUUUCGGUUGAAGUGUUAUAGCCUCUGGUAGAUGUGGUGAUUGGGACUGAGGAUUGCAACGAAUAUCCUUUGGGCUUAUCCGCCUGGCCUCUGAAAGUUGCUUAGGUGCUGAAAGUUCGCUCAUGGUUAUCUAAGCUAACGGUUAAUAGGUUAGAACGUGAUUACA
Molecule: ribosomal RNA, 329 nt
Filed under: uncultured Glomeraceae
Lineage: Eukaryota; Fungi; Glomeromycota; Glomeromycetes; Glomerales; Glomeraceae
Description: partial large subunit ribosomal RNA
Source: RNAcentral